Molecule: small RNA, 279 nt
Filed under: Streptococcus parasanguinis
Lineage: Bacteria; Bacillati; Bacillota; Bacilli; Lactobacillales; Streptococcaceae
Description: 5' ureB small RNA
Rfam family: 5' ureB small RNA
Source: RNAcentral
AGGAGAAAUGUAAUGAACAUGAAGGUCAAUACCUCCUGCUGUCAUGAUCAAACCUUCCCCAGAAAUAGCUUCUGUACUAGCACCAACGAUGAAAUCGAUAUUAUCCAUAAUAUCAGGAUUACCACCCUUACCGAUAGAAACUAUUUUCCCAUCUCGAAUACCCACAUCAGCUUUAACAAUGCCAGUAUAAUCAAUGAUAGUGAUUCCUGAAAUAAUAGUAUCCACAACAAGUGGGUUUGUUUCUCGUGUUUCGUUUGGGUUUACUCCCAUACCAUCACG